Long non-coding RNA from Erpetoichthys calabaricus (reedfish), 3730 nucleotides. RefSeq lists it as uncharacterized. Lineage: Eukaryota; Metazoa; Chordata; Cladistia; Polypteriformes; Polypteridae. The transcript has 2 exons. The record is from RefSeq and is a predicted model, not a curated record.
UUGAGCCAUAAAUAUGAGCACUAUAAAAAUCUUUAGCAUUAUAAGCUAUGUGAUUUUCCAUUACUUUCUAACUACUUGUCUAUGCUGAAAUUUAUAAUUUCAAAAUUUGAAUGAGAUGAAAGGGAGCAAAGAUAGAGGCUUAUUACACUCAGUUUACUCAUCCUGAUCUUGUGUAAUAUCACUGCACUUUCGUCAACAGCCCUGAUGUUCCCUGUCACUUGUCCCCUAGCAGCAAAUAUAUGAAAAGCGCCUCCUGCUCUGAACUAGAUGAGAGCUGGUUGUGACGUACUGAAAACUAACCCUAACCCUACCCUACUCCUAACCUAACCCUAACCCUUAGAUCUGAUCUCUUAUCGAAAGCCACCCACAGCUUGAAAUGCCACAUGCAAUCUCCCUUAUUUAGUAAUAAUACUCUUAAAAUGGGAGGUGACAUUUUUUAAAUGCCCUCCAUUGUCACUUUAAGGUAUCUGCUUAUUAAAUGACAUUUUACCAGAUACCUCUGUGUUGUAUUUCUUCCAUUGUUCCUUACCUGUUUUCAUUUCCUUUACCUUAUAUGCUUUAACCAAUAAGCACAUUUCGCACAACUAACCGUUCCACCCCACACACACUUUUAGAAUGUCUCUCUUUAGAUUUUUAUGACAUCCUGUACCUCUGCUGUAAUUAAAUACUCUUCCAAACCAUCACACAGCCUUUCUGAGAUGCCAGCUUGGUUUUCCCCUAAGUACGGAAAUACAGUGCUUGAACACCUUUUUUCAUUAUGAAUCAUUUGUUAACUUACUAAUGAAAUGAACAGAGGCAGUUUUGAGCUUCAAUGUGUGACAUAAAACUGACAAAAUUGGAAAACUAAAUCCAAGAGUUAAUCAAGGAGUCAAGUUCUACCUAACAUGUGAAGUAAGAACUGCGAAAAGUGGGAAAAUAAGUCCACGAGUUAAUCAAGGGUCAAGUUCACCUGCCUGUAAAUGAAAGACAAAGCCCAUCAGCAAGCUCUUUCUAACACCCCUCUGAAAACUGCUAUGAAUUCUUUCCCUGGUUCUGGGAGUUAACGUGAAACUGGAUAAUCCAACAACAUCAGUUCCUUGCCACUUAACCGAUCGACAGCACAAUGGUGAAUAAUUCAUUAAUAAUUCAUUACAUUUAUAUAGCGCUUUUCUCAGUACUCAAAGCGCUAUCCACACAGGGAGGAACCGGGAAGCGAACCCACAAUCUUCCACAGUCUCCUUACUGCAAAGCAGCAGCACUACCACUGCGCCACCUAGUGAAGUCAGCCAUAUCAUCCAGGACAGAGUUCGGAAAUAUCAGACUACCAUGGGACGUCAGCUUCCUCCACCUAUCAACCUGAAGAGACAACAAACAACAGGGAGAAGACAUUAUCGCAAAGAUCUGAGGACCCAAGUCUACUCCCAGAAGAUCAAAUGAAGCAUUCAGUAGAACAUACGGCCUGAACAGCUGGCUGCAGGACCUGGUGUGUGUGUGUGUGUGUGUGUGAAUCACAGCGUUGACUUUAUGAACAACUGAGGCCUCUUCUAGGAAAGACCACGGAUUUACAGAAACGAUGCCCGGAACCCCAGUCAACAAGGAUUCAAAGUCAAAUCUAAGAGAACUGAUACGGUAAUUUAGGGAUUUUGAUAGCAUAUCUGUUAUGCAUAAAAAUGCAUUAGAAUGUUAGUAAAAUGCUUGCUUCCUAAAUGAAAAUGUGUACUAUGUAAAGUAUCUAAUAACUAUUCAUUGAGGAGUAAAAAUAAUUACACAUAUCAAAAAUGUUAUGCUAUUUGAAGGUGCAGUGCUGCUCCACAGAUCUCAGUGUCCUUCACUGGAGUCCCACAAAUGGCUUUUGUCUGUGUGUCGAUUGCACCGUCUCCUCACGUCACUGUAGGUUGUCCUGCAGGUACUCGGCUUUCCUCCCACAUGUCCAAAGACUUGCAGGACAGGUUAACACUCAAUUGUGCUAAGGGGAUUUAAGAAUGUUAUAUUAUAAACAAUUGAAUUCUCAUAUAGUUUUGCAUUAAAUAUAUUCCACAACAAAAGCCUUCCUGGGUCUAUGAAGAAAAUAACAUUCUCAAACCCUCCAAAGCCAGUUAAGGGUCCUGGGAGAGUGAAACUUAACCUAGCAGUAUUAGGGCAAGGUCUCCACAGGCACACAGAGCUGUUUGUUUGCACCAAUAAUAUCUAAUGUCUUUUCAAUAAACAAGUAGUAUAGGACAUUUUUAGAAAGAUGCCAAAAGCACAUUUUUCCAUUAGAAUUAUUAACUCAUUUUAACAAAGUUUGGACCCUAAUACUUAACUAAUUAAAUGUGCUUAAGUGUGUUUAGUCUAUCUGCUUUUACUAUUAAAAUUAUUAUUAAAUAAUAAACGUUAAAAUGUGCAAUAGACGUUUGUGCUAAUUAGUACGACCAUCAUUUGUUAACCCUUUCUCUUUCUUUUCUUCAUUUUUGGUAUCCUGCUGUGGCGUUAUGCGGCACUACACCCUUGUCAAAGUUUCUCGGCAAUCCUAUGGAAAAUGUCAUCGGCUUGAAGGAUAACACAUCUACAGUGACUCUGCAAUCCUCGGACCCACAUGACAUCACAAGAAGCAGUGACAGUUUGGUAACAUUUUAGUUUAGGUACUGCAAAAACGCAUCGAUUUCUCAUGUACUCUUCUGUAACAAGACUUUCACAAAGGCUUCCUUUGCUCUUCAUAACACUUAUAAAACAUCACUAGAUGGCAUCAGAGUGGCAUCUUGACAUGAUAUUAAGAUGACUUGAUAAUAUGAGGGUCUUAAACUGCAUAUGGAAUAGAAUGAGUGAUGGGAAAGGAAGUACAGAGAAUGAGAAAGCAAGGGAGGCCAAAGUGGAGGUGAACGGAUAAAGUACAAGAAGAUCUGAAGGAAAAGGGCUUGACUGGCAAGGAGGUGCAGGACCGAGCUGUUUGGAGAAGGUUGAUCAAGCGCAUCAACACCACAUAAAAGUAGAAGAAGAAGAUGAAGAAGAAGAAGAAGAGAAAUGCAUCUCAGUUGUGCCACUUCAAACCACUCCAAAGUGAAGUUUUGUAAACAGGUCACAUUUCAGAGAUGAAAAACACUUUAUUGAUAUUUUAUAAGUGCAAUGAAGAUCCAAAGAAGUGUUCGGUGAGGUUUUCUUACAUAACAGUUCAUGAGUAAUAGAAGGAUUUUUGCAGGACCUCAACUGAAGUGUUACCCACAGUUUAAUAUGCUACAGAAUGCCCGGGAGGGGCUGGGCGGCCAUUUGGCCUAGGUCAACAAGUCUUUGUAUUCUUGCACUGCUAAUGACCGUGGGCCCCCAGAGGUUUUUCUUUCUCCAUUAUAUUUUUUCUGGAGUUUUUAUUUUUCCUCUCCUCCGUUGCCAUAUGGCCAUUGCUAUUCAAAAUAAUAAACUGUUAUAUCAGCACUUAUCAGAUAAAAAUCAAUAAGUAAUAGAUUUAACAAAUUAUCUAAAAUGCUCUGUAUAACUUUUUUAAUUAUGAAUAUUUAUUUUGUAAUUUUUCUUCUUCUUAUUCAACAUUUAUUAUUAUAUAGUCUCAGCAGCAUACUAUUCUGAUAUCUUCCCUUUUUUUAUCUGUCUUUAUAGUUAUAUAAUUUUAAGGUAAAUUGUAUAGUAAUUCUGGUAAAACACUUUCAACCUCAUUCAAUCAAUAAAAUGGUCCACUCUGGGUAUUGUUCUUCUUCUUAUAUCCAGGCCUGACGUGUGUACUGACUAUACGUUAAGCCCUGUAAAUAAAAUAAUUUUGGAGCUA